RNAcentral lists this ribosomal RNA (429 nucleotides) under Gemmatimonadota bacterium. Its description in RNAcentral is "Gemmatimonadetes bacterium partial 16S ribosomal RNA". It matches the Rfam family "Bacterial small subunit ribosomal RNA", at positions 355 to 776 of the family's 1533-position model. The record is from RNAcentral. Lineage: Bacteria; Pseudomonadati; Gemmatimonadota.
UAGGGAAUCUUCGGCAAUGGACGAAAGUCUGACCGAGCAACGCCGCGUGAGUGAAGAAGGUUUUCGGAUCGUAAAACUCUGUUGUUAGAGAAGAAAAAGGACGUUAGUAACUGAACGUCCCCUAACGGUAUCUAACAAGAAAGCCACGGCUAACUACGUGCCAGCAGCCGCGGUAAUACGUAGGUGGCAAGCGUUGUCCGGAUUUAUUGGGCGUAAAGCGAGCGCAGGCGGUUUCUUAAGUCUGAUGUGAAAGCCCCCGGCUCAACCGGGGAGGGUCAUUGGAAACUGGGAGACUUGAGUGCAGAAGAGGAGAGUGGAAUUCCAUGUGUAGCGGUGAAAUGCGUAGAUAUAUGGAGGAACACCAGUGGCGAAGGCGGCUCUCUGGUCUGUAACUGACGCUGAGGCUCGAAAGCGUGGGGAGCAAACAGG